This 447-nucleotide ribosomal RNA is filed under the name uncultured bacterium. RNAcentral describes it as "SSU rRNA". It matches the Rfam family "Bacterial small subunit ribosomal RNA", at positions 26 to 518 of the family's 1533-position model. The record is from RNAcentral.
AGAACGAACGCUGGCGGCAGGCUUAACACAUGCAAGUCGAACGCGUGUAGCAAUACACGAGUGGCGCACGGGUGAGUAACGCGUGGAUAUCUGCCUUUUGGUUCGGAAUAACCCCGGGAAACUGGGGCUAAUACCGGAUGGUUCCUUCGGGAUAAAGAUUUAUCGCCAAAAGAUGAGUCCGCGUACGAUUAGCUAGUUGGUGAGGUAAUGGCUCACCAAGGCGACGAUCGUUAGCUGGUCUGAGAGGACGAUCAGCCACACUGGGACUGAGACACGGCCCAGACUCCUACGGGAGGCAGCAGUGGGGAAUAUUGGACAAUGGGGGCAACCCUGAUCCAGCCAUGCCGCGUGAGUGAUGAAGGCCUUCGGGUUGUAAAGCUCUUUUGGCGGGGACGAUGAUGACGGUACCCGCAGAAUAAGCCCGGCUAACUUCGUGCCAGCAGCCGC